This is a long non-coding RNA of Felis catus (domestic cat), 341 nucleotides long. RefSeq lists it as uncharacterized. Lineage: Eukaryota; Metazoa; Chordata; Mammalia; Carnivora; Felidae. The record is from RefSeq and is a predicted model, not a curated record. The transcript has 2 exons.
ACAAGUAGUUUAGUAUGGCAGCAUCCACGAACCAACAAUAAAGUCAAGUGGCAAAGUCUCAGUGAAAAACCUUGACCUGUCACUGAAAGCCAUUGUCAACAUCUAAAUGUCAGAACACAACUUUUAAAAGGAUUUGAAACUAGAAUGCAUUAGGAGAAUCAGUACAACAUAGACAAUUUAUAAGGUUUUUCUACACUGAAAUUCGAGACCAUGCUGGCACAAGCAAAGGUACCAGAUAGGAAAAAUAUCCAGCCUCUUGUUAUUUUCAGUCCUAAAGAACAGCUACAGUUAACAAAAUACAUGUGGCCCAAUAAAGUGUGCAUUGAUUUAUAAUUAAAAUA